Long non-coding RNA from Stylophora pistillata, 207 nucleotides. The record is from RefSeq and is a predicted model, not a curated record. NCBI's taxonomy places the organism in Eukaryota, Metazoa, Cnidaria, Anthozoa, Scleractinia, Pocilloporidae.
AGUGGAUCAUCUGGGGCACGUGAACACGAUUUAUCACGAGGGAAAAAGCGGAAGCUUAAACAGAAGAAGCUAAGCGGGUUAAAAAAACAUUGCCGCAGCGAGGACCUCCCGAAAGCAGCUGUCAUUAAGAGACUAAGACGUGUUUGGAGUGAGUCAGCGAUAUGCUCUAAACGUUUGACAAAAGACCGUGUGCCUUUACACUCUCAA